GUGCCAGCAGCCGCGGUAAUACGGAGGGUGCGAGCGUUGUUCGGAAUCAUUGGGCGUAAAGGGCGUGUAGGUGGUCUGUUAAGUCAUGUGUGAAAGCCCCCGGCUCAACCGGGGAAGUGCGCAUGAAACUGACAAGCUAGAGUACCGAAGAGGAGGGUGGAAUUCCAGGUGUAGCGGUGAAAUGCGUAGAUAUCUGGAGGAACACCGGUGGCGAAGGCGGCCCUCUGGUCGGAUACUGACGCUAAAACGCGAAAGCGUGGGGAGCAAACAGGAUUAGAUACCCGCGUAGUCC
This 292-nucleotide ribosomal RNA is filed under the name uncultured bacterium. Its description in RNAcentral is "partial 16S ribosomal RNA". It matches the Rfam family "Bacterial small subunit ribosomal RNA", at positions 505 to 796 of the family's 1533-position model. The record is from RNAcentral.